GGAGGUAUAGUUCAGUGAUAGAGCAUGUGCUUAGCAUCAUGCACAAGGUCCUGGGUUCAAUCCCCAGUACCUCCA
RNAcentral lists this transfer RNA (75 nucleotides) under Camelus bactrianus (Bactrian camel). It matches the Rfam family "tRNA". From Rfam's summary of the family: Transfer RNA (tRNA) molecules are approximately 80 nucleotides in length. Their secondary structure includes four short double-helical elements and three loops (D, anti-codon, and T loops). Further hydrogen bonds mediate the characteristic L-shaped molecular structure. tRNAs have two regions of fundamental functional importance: the anti-codon, which is responsible for specific mRNA codon recognition, and the 3' end, to which the tRNAs corresponding amino acid is attached (by aminoacyl-tRNA synthetases). tRNAs cope with the degeneracy of the genetic code in two manners: having more than one tRNA (with a specific anti-codon) for a particular amino acid; and 'wobble' base-pairing, i.e. permitting non-standard base-pairing at the 3rd anti-codon position. The record is from Rfam by way of RNAcentral. RNAcentral also lists the same sequence under 2 other names. Lineage: Eukaryota; Metazoa; Chordata; Mammalia; Artiodactyla; Camelidae.